UACGUAGGUGGCAGGCGUUGUCCGGAUUUACUGGGUGUAAAGGGCGUGUAGCCGGGUUGAUAAGUCAGAUGUGAAAUCCUGCGGCUUAACCGCAGAACUGCAUUUGAAACUGUUGAUCUUGAGUACUGGAGAGGCAGACGGAAUUCCUAGUGUAGCGGUGAAAUGCGUAGAUAUUAGGAGGAACACCAGUGGCGAAGGCGGUCUGCUGGACAGCAACUGACGGUGAGGCGCGAAAGCGUGGGGAGCAAACAGG
Molecule: ribosomal RNA, 253 nt
Filed under: uncultured bacterium
Lineage: Bacteria
Description: partial 16S ribosomal RNA
Rfam family: Bacterial small subunit ribosomal RNA
Source: RNAcentral